AAUACCAAUAACCGAAAAUUACAAAACCAUGACAUCAUGUUCAUAUGGAAAUUCCUGUGUUCCAGUCUGUGUCCAUUGCCCAUUUCUCUGACAGUGGGCACCACCGAAAAAAGCAUGGCUCCAAACUCUUGACACCUUCUUGUUAAAUAUUUUUAAAUACUGAUAAAAUCCCCUCUCAGCCUUCUCUUCGCCAGACUGAAGUGUUCCAAGUGUCUCGGCCUUUCCUCAUAAGGGAGAUGCUCCAGGCCCCUCAUCAUCUUUGUGGCCCUCUGCCGGACUCUCUCUAAAAAAUCCCUGUCUUUAUCGAGCUGGAGAGCCCAGAACUGAACACACUGUUCAAAAUGAGGCCUGACCAGGGCAGAGGAGAGGAGAGGAUCACCCUUGUCAACCUGCUGGUCACGCUCCUUUUAAUGCACCUCAGGAUACCAUUGCCCUUCUCGGCCACAAGGGCACAGUGCUGGCUCAUGCGUACCCUGUUGUCCACUAGGACACCCAGGUCCUUCUCUGCAGAGCUCAUUUCCAGCAAAUCAGCCCCUAACCUGUACUGAUGUGUGCAGUUACUCUUCCCCGUGCAUAGGACUCUACACUUGCCAUUGUUGAACCUAAUCAGCUUUCUCUCUGUCCAACUCUCAGCCUGUUCUUGUCUCACUGAACAACAGCACAGUCUUCUGGUCUGUCAUACACUACCCCGGAAUGCUGAGGGCGGACUCUAUCCUUUCAUCCAGGACAUUGAUUAAGAUGUUGAAUAAGACUUGAUCCAGUACUAACCCCUGGGCAACAGUGCUUGUUACAAGCCUCCAGCUAGACCCUGUGUCACUGAUCACCACCCUCUGAGCUCUGCUAGUCAGGCAGUUCUCAAUCCACCUCACUGUCCACCCAUUUAUCACACACUUCCUAAGCUUACCUAUGAGGAUGUUGUAGGAAACAAUGUCAAAAGCCUUGCUGAAGUCAAGGCAGACAACUCAUCUACCCAGCCAUCAUGACAUAGAACGCUACCAGACUGAUUAAGUGUGAGCUCCCAUGGGUGAACCCACGUUGACUACUCCUGAUAACCUUCUUUUCUUCCACUUGCUUGGAGAUGAUAUCCAGGAUAAGCUGUUCCAUCACCAUCCCAGGGACAGAGGUGAGGCUGACUGGCUUGUAGUUUCCCAGGUCGUCCUUCUCACAAUUUUUGAAGACCGAAGUGACAAUGGCUUUCCUCCAGUCCUCAGUCAUCUCCCCUGUUCUCCACAGCCUCCCAUAGGUAAAUCCCAUUGGGUCCCAUGGAUUUGCGUAUGUCAAGUUUGCCUUGAUGAUUUCUGAUCAGAUCCUCAACUGAGAGGAAUUACUUCUUUCUGCAGAUUCUUUCUCCAGGGUCUGGGAUUCCUGAGAGCCAGUUUUAACAAUAAAGACCGAAGGAAAGAAGGCAUUCUGUAACUCCACCUACUCAGUGUCCUCUGUUACCAGGACACAUAUCUCCUUCAGCAGCAGCCCCAUGUUUUCACUAAUCUUAAUUUCAGGAAAAUUGACUUAACCCUAUCUACCUGCUCCAGCAGGGAAUCUCCCACCCACAGGACUCAGCAAGGAAUUUGGAGUGUAUUUUUUUACAGUAAAGAGCCUAGAUCAGCUCAAGCCUGAGGAGACUGGGCAGUUGCGUUUCUCUUGCCUGCAGAUAGAUCACUCAAUGCAGGCUCACUUCUCUUCAAGCCUCUGUGAGAAGCGGGAACAAUGCUUGGUUCAAAGCUUGUUCAGCAGCACCCAUCCAAGACAUGAGAAGCUGGAACAAUGCUUGGCUCAAAGCUUGUUCAGCAGCACCCAUCCAAGGCAUGACCUGCUCAACAAGCUUUUGAAGUUAAUGGUUGAUUACCAUGAGGACAGCAGUAAGAGGACAGACGUGCUGUUCCUCCUGAUGAACAAAAUGUGGGCACCCCGACACCUACCGUCACCAUGACGAACAGGGCACGAUGUCCCUGAUAAGUGGGGUAGGCAGGAGUGCUCCUGACAACCAGCUGCUGCCCCUGGAGAGGAUAAAAACCCAAAGAGUUCCAAGGAAGAAUGGGUACUCCCUCCGCCAAACUGCAGCCGUGCCGGUCAACAAGACAUCGCUGGCUGACCUGCUGCCUCCCCAUGGACCAACAAGACAUCGCUGGAUCCUGUGGUGAAACAUUCUAAGUUAUUACUACCGUGCAGCUUUGAUCUGGUGAACAAGACUUUGCACCAUACAAACCAUAUGCACCAGCAGUGCUCACUGAAGUCACAACAAAUUAAAUCUGUUUUGGACUAAGGAAUUGAUUUUCUACUUCCCGGGCUGCAGAGAAAGAUUCAUCACUUGAGAGAGCUGCAACAGCAGCAGUGAAGUCAAUAGCACGUGGCAGAGAAAGUGUACUGAUGUGAUGAUUUAGCAAGUUCAGAUGCUAAAAUGAAUUACUGGAAUCCAAAAGGGCUUGAAUGCAACUUGGACUUCAUGGCUGUGUGGGAACAUCAAAGAAUGGAAAGGAAUUCCUUGUUCGAGGAAGUGGAAUGUGCCUCUGAUCCCACUCCUGUCCGAGGCUGGAGCAGAGCAGUGGCAGACAUCCAUCUGCCGAUCCUUCCUGCAGGGGGCAGAGGGAGCACGGCGGGGCUGUCUCACCCUCCGUGGUCAUUCACAGAGCCUGAGUUUCCCGUCAGUGCUUGUGCAGCCACACCCAUACACGCAAAUACCAUCCAAACCGUAAAGGACUGCAAAUGAUCUCGUGGAUUGAAUGCUGCUUAUCCAAAUAUAGCCUGACCUCAUAUAGCUCUUGCUAUUUUCGUGGUCAUUCUUAGGAUAUGUGGUAACGAGCACUGCAAUAGUCAAAACAGAAAGGAAAAAAUAUUUUUUGCCUUUUGAUGAUUUUAGAUGAUGGCAGAGUCACUGGUUACAGUAACUACAAGGAUGGGGGAACUGCCACUGUUUUGUAUCUGUACCCUAACAGAAAUGGACUGACUGCUGUUGGCAAUCAGCAUGCUGAAAGUGCCGGAUACAAACAUACAGAGACACCAGAAAGCCCAUGCCCUGCCUGUAGUAGCAGGAGAUACACAGUCUGCCCUCCAGGCUUUCACAUUAGUAUCUCUGUAUUUUGUCAGAAAUUUUUAUAUAAUCUAAGGGAGGGAAAGUAGGUCAAACUGUGCUGGGGAGGAAAUACCUGUAAGCAAUACCAACCAAAAAGGUCUGACCCAGCUCUGUCUAGGAUUGUCAGAUUCAUUUUCUCUACUCCCUGGAAGCAAACUGUAAUCCAACAGGUUGCACUGCAGGAUGUCUGGGGGGUGCUCCCUAGGAAAACUGCUGACAUCCAGUUUAUCUGAAAUAUUACUAGUUUUCAUGUUGGUGGUAUCGUUCUCCAUAUAUAUAAAUGAUAUAGAACAGUAUUACAGGAAAAAGUCCAAAUGAAUGUGUCUUGUUUUUUUUUCCUCUGGUGUUGUUUUAGCACUAGUUAGAGAGAUGCUACCAUACUCUUUGUUAAGCAGUAAAUGACUCCUUAUUUUCUGUGUCACAUACAAUCUCACACAUAACAUAAGUUCUCUCUUAGUGUGCAGUUGUUCUUACAUGUGUACACCUACAAAAUAGAAACAGGUGCUGUGCUUUCAGCUGUGGAUGUUCCUUGUGGCACAAACAUGAAGAAGUCGGUCAAGUCAAAGAGCAAUCUGCCAGCACAUUUACUUGUAGAGUCCUACGAAAGCUGCAGUCUACAGCAGGAUGGUUACAGUCAAACACAUGCUAAAAUAAUAUAUAGAAUUGUGGUUGUAUUUACUAGACAUAGGCACUGAUUUCUGCAUGCAAGCUAAAUACCUCCACUGGCAAGAAGGAAAUGACUACUAAUCACGGUCACUUGGUAUUGCUUUCUCCAAAACAGGACAGUGAGCUGAUGGACAACUAGAGGGAGGCUUAAAGGUGGUUGAGACUGAGUUGUGCCUACAAGGUGGCAACAGUUAGGGUUCAGCAUGGGACAUGCACUGUUCAACAUAUUCACCAAAGCUCAGAAUGAAGGCAGUAAAGUGUGACAUCUGCAGAUGACAGCAAACUGGGGGAGCAGUCAAUACGUGCAAGAGCAAGGCUGAUACCAGAGGGACCAGUACAGGGAGAGUAGUUGGCUAACAAAGAUCUGACAGAACCAAGCAAGGACAAAAGACCAGAGUGAGGGCAGGGACUAUCCCCUCUGCUCAGUACCUGGCAGACCACAGCCAGGUACAGCUUUGAGCUCCCAUAUCAGGACAAACAUCAACUAACCAGAGCAAGCUCAGGAGGCACCACUGGGGCAGUGGGGCUGGAGUGCUCACCCUGGAAGAUGAGGCUGUCGGGCUAGCAAUGUUCCAGCCUCGAGUCGAGGGGCACCUAACAGCACCAGAGUGCCUACAAGGAGAGGACUGAGAGGUUAUGGCCAUGGUCUUCGUAGUAGUGCCUGGUAGGAGAAUGAAAUCCAGCAGCACUAGCUGAAGCUAGAGAUAGGUAAAAGCCUUUUCCCUCUGACCAGAAACAGCAGUGAAAUCAGGGCCCAAUCACUUCUCUGUCAUUGCCGCAAGUUGUUAUGCUAGCACAGUUUCAGGUGUUGUUCAGAGUACGGGAUUACUGCAAUUAGUAUACUGUGUGCUGAUGUCAGGUAUCAGUAACCAGCACAGGAUUAUGCACUAUUUAAUAAUGCAGCAGCUAUUAAUUAAUAACACUUCAGUAAGGAACCUAGGGCCACCUGGAUCAGCAUCCAAGAUGAAAGCUAAGCUAGCAGAAACUGCACUGUGAACAAGAUUUGGGUGGGAGUUGAAGGUUCAGCAUUCAAACAGAAGACUGAUCUUCAGCACAAGCCUUCAGUGCAGCAGCUUCAUCCUCCAGCACCAGAGAAAUAGAAACAGAAGAGGUAUUCAUGUCUUAAUAUUAUGCCUCAGUGAUCUGUCAUACAGUAAAAUGUUAUUUUGUUUGCCAGUUGUAAGGAUAGGCAAUAGCAGGUAUAACUGCUUUAAACAAGUUUCGGAUCACCCAGAAAAGACAGAGAUUGCAAUCUGACAACAAGGAAGUAAUUGCUUACCCCUUUCUGAGGAUCAGAGUUCACAAAGGAGCUCUCCAAGGAGGCAGUCUCCAGAUAGAGAUACUUCCUAUGUGGCUGCCAGCCCUUAAAUGAAGUUAGGGAGGGGUGGAGCCAGGAUCCACCCUUCCAAUGGCACAGGUGAUUUGCUUCCACCUGUGCUCCCAGGGCUGGCUACACCUCUUCACCAGGUGCUCAGUCACUGGUUCAGGCUAUAACUUAACCGGUCCCAUACUUCCGUAGACUGCAGAAACUCGUAUUAUAAUUGAGAACACGAAAGUGCAACACUAUGCACAAACAAAGCAAAAUUGAAACUUCAGGAUGGAAGGUGCGAAUGUCAGUGGGCUGAUAUGGUCUGUUAUCAUUAUAUACCUGAAACAUUCCUUUGGACUGCUUCUCAGCAUUAAGAUCUAGCUGGUUUUUCACCUUUUCAUGGAUAAGAUAGGAAUUCAUGUUUAACAUGGCAUUGUAGACAAUGUAGUCUACAACUGAGGCACUGCCAUUCUGAAAAUCUUGGCUUCAAAAGAAAAAUAGAUUGCAAAACUACAAUAUUGGAUAUCUGUUGCAUUUUUUUUAUGAACAAUGGAAAAAUUAAUUAAAUUGAACCACUGUUAUUUAUUCCAUAGUAAAUUGCCUCACAUUGAUCGGUUCAAAUAACUUCCUUUAACAAAAGCCAAAGCUGCACAGCAAAGCUGAGACAAACAGAAGAUAAAUACUUUACUGCAGAACAUAAAAAGGCCAGUGGCGGUGCUAGGAGGAUACCAGAACACACCAUGCCUACUGCUUUUCUGCAAGCCUAGAUACAUAUACAGGAACAGGCUUUGCAGGGAAGUUGUCAUGGCACCAAGCCACUCACUGUGACCUCAUUAGCUUUGUGCUCAUCUCAGCAUGCAGCAACUGCUGAUGCAUCGCUGCUGUUACUAGUGAUGUGGGAAGGAGGAAGAUAGUCUUGCACUGUAGUGAGUUUGGGUGUCUGAGUUUUUAGUUUGAUAGUAGGAACACCUGGUGGUUUAUAGCAACCAUUACAACUAUUUAAUGGAUAGCAGCUUGCUAGAGAACAGCUUGUAUUAGAAACACCAGUAUAAAGAGCAAGGGGAAGCUUUCUUCACAGACGGAUACUGCAUUUUAAUAUAAACAUACUUUCUGAGGUUAGAAAUUGAUAUUAUUUUCUUCUUUUACGCCAGACUUUCCUAUAAAGAAUCAGUUUCUUGCCCAAACAAUUGCUAGUAUUUCCUUCCUGUGCUGGGGAUGUUCUUCAGGGAACUUAAUCUGGUAGCUAGGCCAUCCUGGUCCCUGCUUUGAAGGAUAUGCCAACUGGGAAGCAAAUGCUGCCACAGAAAGUUUAUUCUAUAGACAAGGUAUAAAAUGCAGAAAAAAAAGAUUAGUUUCCAGGUGAGUGUUCGCAAAGAAGGAAGUGGGAAAAAAUGCGCUCUCUAUUUCAGUUUUGUCAUUAAAACUUUAACCUCAGAACCAAUGAGGAAAAAAUUAUUUAAAAAAUAGUGUAUGGAGAAACAUACAUUUCUUCACUUUAAAUAAUAUAUGCAUGUGUAUCUGCUGUGAUCCUGAGGACUGAUGUAAGCAGAGAAGAAGACAGGAGCAUAUUGCAAGAGUUCUUUGCUGUGAGAAUGAAGUGCAUGAGCUUUCUCUAGUAGAAUCAAAGAUGCUUGCAUAAAGAAACCAUGGCUGACUAUGUGAUAUUUUGAUGGUUUCUCUCCAAUGAUAAUCACAGAACUGUAGGGGUUGGAAGGAACCUCUAGAGAUCAUCAAGUCCAACCUCCAGUAAUAGCUUCUCACCCUCCCUCCUCAAAACAACAGAAGUAGAAGAUACAAUGAAAAAGGACUCAAAGGUAGAGAUGAGAACGGAAAGAUCCUGGACUUCAGCAAAACUUUCGACACUGUCUCCUACAGUACACUCCUGGAGAAGCUGGCAGCUCAUGGCUUGGACAGCUUUUCCUCUCCAGGAAAAGAAGAACACAUGGCUACUGAUUUCAAUUCUGGAUCUAGUUUGGAUUAUGCAAGAAUAUCUGUGCUUAUCCAAUGAGACUGAAAUUCUUCAAUGGACAAUGAAAUAUGACUGGUAUCGUGAAUUAUUGGACCUGGCAUUCAAAAAGCAGGAGUAACAGAAAGGAGACGGGAGGAAGAAAAUACCAAGUCACUUGAUAUCCUUUCCUUUCUGGCUAUGUCCCCAAAAUAAGAAACAUUACAAAUAAGUAAACCAAAACAUGUCCUGUUAAAA
This is a long non-coding RNA of Numida meleagris (helmeted guineafowl), 7248 nucleotides long. RefSeq lists it as uncharacterized. NCBI's taxonomy places the organism in Eukaryota, Metazoa, Chordata, Aves, Galliformes, Numididae. The transcript has 4 exons. The record is from RefSeq and is a predicted model, not a curated record.